Long non-coding RNA from Culex quinquefasciatus (southern house mosquito), 698 nucleotides. RefSeq lists it as uncharacterized. Lineage: Eukaryota; Metazoa; Arthropoda; Insecta; Diptera; Culicidae. The record is from RefSeq and is a predicted model, not a curated record. The transcript has 2 exons.
UCGACUGUUAAGUGCGCGAGCGUUUUUUCGUCGUUUUCGGUGGUUUUGGACGAUGUUUCGUCCGAUAUGUUCAGGUAAGUCGUAUAAGUUUUUGGACUAGUCCAACGAAGAGCUUCUUCGUUAAGUUUUUAUUUACUUUUCAGCUCACAGUGAGCCUGAAAAGUGGUGGUGUUUUGCUGCUAGGUUCUGAAUCUUCCCGAGGAAGAUCAGCCUGCACAAACCCACAAAUUAUCCCGGGAUGAACCAUGGUUGGCCAUCUUGACACAGCAAGAUGAGCACCAGGUAAGUGUACACAUUAAAAUUUGCAAUUUAAAAAUCAAUUAAUGAUUGACGAUCGUAAAAUUUUAGGCUUGGCACUUCUGGCCGGUAUUUUGGUUGGCAGAGUCCCCUCACUGCCGCUCCACAGUCGAUGCUCGGACGCAAGGGCACUACGGAUAACCCCUUGGUCGUCUCAUCGGACUGCCAGCGCAGCUAUGGACCUCCAACAUAAGCAUAAAGGUGUUUAGUAACGACUAACCUCCUCCGCAGAUGCUCAUCGGGUCUUCGGGUCGAACCGACAGCGAGUUCCGAGGGAAACCAAUGUUUAACCCCUCACCAACUGCUGCGGUUAACCGACCCUCGGUCGACUUACAUCGUUAGAGUUAGUCAGUGUUACUAAACUCUUUAUUGAUUAUGAAUAAAGAUUCAUUUUAUUUUCA